GGGGACCCGCACAAGCGGUGGAUGAUGUGGUUUAAUUCGAUGCAACGCGAAAAACCUUACCCACCUUUGACAUGUACGGAAGUGACCAGAGAUGGACAUGUGCUCGAAAGAGAACCGUAACACAGGUGCUGCAUGGCUGUCGUCAGCUCGUGUCGUGAGAUGUUGGGUUAAGUCCCGCAACGAGCGCAACCCUUGCCAUUAGUUGCUACAUUUAGUUGGGCACUCUAAUGGGACUGCCGGUGACAAACCGGAGGAAGGUGGGGAUGACGUCAAGUCCUCAUGGCCCUUAUAGGUGGGGCUACACACGUCAUACAAUGGCUGGUACAAAGGGUUGCCAACCCGCGAGGGGGAGCUAAUCCCAUAAAGCCAGUCGUAGUCCGGAUCGCAGUCUGCAACUCGACUGCGUGAAGUCGGAAUCGCUAGUAAUCGUGGAUCAGAAUGUCACGGUGAAUACGUUCCCGGGUCUUGUACACACCGCCCGUCACACCAUGGGAGCGGGUCUCGCCAGAAGUA
Molecule: ribosomal RNA, 513 nt
Filed under: Comamonas koreensis
Lineage: Bacteria; Pseudomonadati; Pseudomonadota; Betaproteobacteria; Burkholderiales; Comamonadaceae
Description: bacterial SSU rRNA
Rfam family: Bacterial small subunit ribosomal RNA
Source: RNAcentral